This 530-nucleotide long non-coding RNA is filed under the name Homo sapiens (human). RNAcentral's name for it is "HSALNT0345062". The record is from RNAcentral. Lineage: Eukaryota; Metazoa; Chordata; Mammalia; Primates; Hominidae.
AACGAAUACAGCAGGGAUGACUUCCACCAGCUCCACUUUGCAGCUCUGAGGUGUAUUAAAAAUUUGUUUUUCAGAAACCUAGAGCCCCACCAAAUGAAUCCGCUGGCACGUGGACCUCAGAUGGGGGAAACUGAGGACUGAAUUCUGACCACCCUCCUUUGUUCUAAAUUUCUUCCUGAAGGACCUGGAAGAAGUCAUGCCACGGGCCAGACCUUAACAUUCCUUUCGGCUUACCCCAGGAUUUCAGACAAAGCUUCACUUUCCUAACCAGUCACAAAUCAGAGAAUUUUUGAUUCCACCUAUGACCUGUGAGCUCCUGCUUCAAGAUAUUCCACCUUUUUUAGGCCAAACCAAUGUAUAACCUCCAAGUGUCGAUUUACACUUUCGACUGUAACUUCUGCUUUCCUGAGAUUUACCCCUGCCUUUAAAAACCCUUGCUUGUAAUCCCUCAGGGAGGCCGUGUAUUUAUUAAUCAUGAGCUGCCCAAUUCUCCUUGCUUGGUGCCCUGCAAAUAAACACCCUCUUUUCUC